GUAGGUGGCAAGCGUUGUCCGGAAUUAUUGGGGCGUAAAGCGCGCGCAGGCGGUUCUUUAAGUCUGAUGUGAAAGCCCACGGGCUCAACCGUGGAGGGUCAUUGGAAACUGGAGAACUUGAGUACAGAAGAGGAAAGCGGAAUUCCACGUGUAGCGGUGAAAUGCGUAGAGAUGUGGAGGAACACCAGUGGCGAAGGCGGCUUUCUGGUCUGUAACUGACGCUGAGGCGCGAAAGCGUGGGGAGCAAACAGGAUAGAUACCCUGGUAGUCCACGCCGUAAACGAUGAGUGCUAAGUGUUAGGGGGUUUCCGCCCCUUAGUGCUGCAGCUAACGCAUUAAGCACUCCGCCUGGGGAGUACGGCAGCAAGGUUG
Molecule: ribosomal RNA, 372 nt
Filed under: uncultured organism
Description: partial 16S ribosomal RNA
Rfam family: Bacterial small subunit ribosomal RNA
Source: RNAcentral